GACGAACGCUGGCGGCGUGCUUAACACAUGCAAGUCGAACGGAAAGGCCCUGCUUUUGUGGGGUGCUCGAGUGGCGAACGGGUGAGUAACACGUGAGUAACCUGCCCUUGACUGUGGGAGAACUUCAGGAAACUGGGGCUAAUACCGGAUAGGAGCUCCUGCUGCAUGGUGGGGGUUGGAAAGUUUCGGCGGUGGGGGAUGGACUCGCGGGUUAUCAGCUUGAUGGUGGGGUAGUGGCUUACCAAGGCUUUGACGGGUAGCCGGCCUGAGAGGGUGACCGGCCACAUUGGGACUGAGAUACGGCCCAGACUCCUACGGGAGGCAGCAGGCGGGAAUAUUGCACAAUGGGCGGACGCCUGAGGCAGCAACGCCGCGUGCGGGAUGACGGCCUUCGGGUUGUAAACCGCUUUCGCCUGUGACGAAGCGUGAGUGACGGUAAUGGGUAAAGAAGCACCGGCUAACUACGUG
Molecule: ribosomal RNA, 468 nt
Filed under: uncultured bacterium
Lineage: Bacteria
Description: partial 16S ribosomal RNA
Rfam family: Bacterial small subunit ribosomal RNA
Source: RNAcentral